Molecule: ribosomal RNA, 428 nt
Filed under: uncultured bacterium
Lineage: Bacteria
Description: partial 16S ribosomal RNA
Rfam family: Bacterial small subunit ribosomal RNA
Source: RNAcentral
GUAGGGAAUCUUGCACAAUGGACGAAAGUCUGAUGCAGCGACGCCGCGUGAGUGAUGAAGGCUUUAGGGUUGUAAAGCUCUGUUCUCAGGGAAAAACACAAUGAUGGUACCUGAGAAGAAAGGACCGGCUAACUUCGUGCCAGCAGCCGCGGUAAGACGGGGGGUCCUAGCGUUGCUCGGAAUUAUUGGGCGUAAAGCGGACGUAGGCGGCUAUGUAAGUCAGGAGUGAAAGCCCUGGGCUCAACCCAGGAAGUGCUUUUGAAACUGCAUAGCUUGAGUGUGGGGGAGGGUCGUAGAAUUCCUGGUGUAGUGGUGAAAUACGUAGAUAUCAGGAGGAACACCGGUGGCGAAGGCGGCGGCCUGGCCCAACACUGACGCUGAGGUCCGAAAGCGUGGGGAUCAAACAGGAUUAGAUACCCGAGUAGUCC